Mustela erminea (ermine) is the source of this 2892-nucleotide long non-coding RNA. RefSeq lists it as uncharacterized. NCBI's taxonomy places the organism in Eukaryota, Metazoa, Chordata, Mammalia, Carnivora, Mustelidae. The record is from RefSeq and is a predicted model, not a curated record. The transcript is spliced from 3 exons.
UUCAGGACCCUGAGAUCAUGACACAAGCCGAAAUGGAGUCGGACGCUUAACUGAGGCGCCCCGUCUCUUAAUAUUUCUAAUGUCCCGCUGAGUCAUCAGCAUAAUCAGCACGUCUCCCUUGAAUGUUAAACACUGCUAUGAUAAUCUUAAGUUGUAUAAAUACAUGUUCAUUAUUUUUGCCCGCAGUAAAGGAAUAAUAAACCGUUGUUACAGAUGACUUAAUGAUAUAAGCCUAAUAUUAAUGUUUAUUGUUUUAUAAUGUAUUUUUCCUUACAGUAACCUAGAUUCACAAAGGCAGUUGCAGAACCAGGUAGCAGAAGGAAUCGGUUGGUGGAGUUCCUUGUCCCUGUAGCCGUUCAACAAAUGAAGUGUCGCUAGGGCUUCCGUGAAUGGCACCAGAGAUGGUUAAAAGCAAAACCACAUAGGCGAGAAAGGCCACCUGAUACGGAACUUGCAUUUGUUCCUUAUAAAGAAUCCUCGGGAAAGAAUUCUCUACCGAGGUGUUUUUUUUUUCUAUUCCCGCCCAAACAUGACAGAAGUUGUGAAUAUGAGAGAAGCUCAUAGAGCUGUUCAGGGAUGGCUUAGGGCCAGUUACAAGUUCACGUGGGUAGCCUAGGGUGCCAUGUCUGUCCCCAGGGAGUUUCCAGUUUAGGGAAGCAGGUGUUCGGGUGGCUGGCUGGUGGAAGGUUUUAAGUGGAUCUGAGCUCACGGGCAUCUUUCAGCCUCUCUGAGCCUUCCCUGACCCCUGCGAAGCAGCAUGAGAAGGAGGGACCCCAGAGUUUGAAUUUGAAGGGAGGGAACGGAUUGGAAAGUCAGCUGCAGAGGUAACAUGAGGCCCGUCUGGAAUUCAUCGUGCGAACUGUCAAAGAAGAUUGACUCUAAGAUCUAACUGUUUAGUGUGGAGCAGAAAAAUGGGUAUGGAUUUGCUAGUACCUGAAGCUGAAAUGCAACCCCAUCCCCACUCUUCUAGUUUUUAAAGAUUUAUUUAUUGUGGAGAACAAGGGAGCGUGAACCAGCGCUGAGAGGGGAGAGCGGGCAGAGAAGGGGAGAGAAUCUUAAGCAGACUCAGCUCCUAGCAGCACAGAGUCCGACUCUGGGCUGGAUCUCACGACCCUGACAUCAUGACCUGAGCCUAAAUAAGAGUCAGACACUCAACCACGGAGCCCCCCCAGGUGUCCCAGCCCACUGUCGUAGUUUUUAAAACCUUGCCGCUCCACUUGCUGGAUUUUAAGAAACAGAGCAAGUCGUUAUUUUGCCGCCAUUCUUAAGUUGUUCUGUAACUUCUCUGACCUGUUGUCUCAAAAACAUGUGACCAGUCAAAAUACUAUUUUCUUCUUGUUUGGAGAGUUCUGUAGUAACCAGGAAAGGAAUGGAAGCUCCUUUGGAAAUGCAUGCUGGUGACACGAUUAGGCCCGGCCCCGUGAUUAGGCCCGGCCCCGUUUCUCGGACGGUAAGGAGUGUGUCACGGCGAGACCCCGAAUGAUGGGAGAGAUGGCGACGUUCUGACUUUUGCUCUGUGAAUCUCCAAACAGAAAACUUUUAGACGUGGGUUAAUUUUGUAGGAGGGAAUGUACAAAGCAGGGAAGGGCCAGGCUGGGGGAGCUGCUUUGGUGGAGAAACAACUUGGUGCCUCCCCAAGCCUUGGCCUCCAGUGUGGUCAGAGGGAUGGGCGGGCCAGCCAGUGGGGAAGGCCUCGGGCUGUUGGGUGGGAAGCGACCCACCUAGUUUUACUGGUGCUGGAGGGAAUGGCUUUGUGUUUUGAGUAGAGAGCAGGUCAUUAGAUGUUGGCUUCUGCUAUUAGCAUUCAUAUUUUAAAGCAAAACUAGAAAGUAGAGGGGAAAAAAGUGUAAGCCUAGUGGUUCUCCACCAAGAGUGAUUUUUGCCUCCCGAGGCACAUCUGGGAAUGUCAGGAGACCAUUUUGAUCGUCACAGCUGAGGGUGGGGUAUCCUGCUGGCAUCUAGUGGGUAGAGACUGGGGCUGCUCAGCCUCUUACCUGCACAGGGCAGACCCCCCAUGGCCAAGAACCAUGCAGCCCCAAAUGCCAGUAGUGCCGAGGGCAAUAAAUCCUGCAGUCAUCCCACACAGUUUGCUAUCUUUCCGUAUCUUUUUCGUUUGUUGUGUCCCUAUACAUAGUAGUGUCCAUGGUUUUGUAGAACAAACACUAUAUCCUAAUGACGGGCAUGACUAGUAACCUCAGGGUCACUGAAUGCCUUCCAGACUUUGCCGUCAUCUUGUUUCUUUACUACAAAUAAUCUAAUUUACUGCUCUGGGGAAUGACCUAUAAUGCACAGUUUUGUGCAUUUGUCUUUUUCUGAAUUGCCAAUUAUUUCUUGAAGGGAAGAUUGACAAGUGCUGGUAUUUUUCUAAGGGGUGGACUUUUAAAUGGUUCUUGGCCAGUACUUCCACAUUGCUCUCCAAAGGCCUGGUACUCAUUUCAGGGUGUGAUCAGCAGUGAAUGGACGUCCUGUUUGCUUGGGUUCUUGCCAGCAUAAAGCGUCUAUGUUUAGGGGAGAAAAGAACCUUUUCAAAAAUUUUUGCUAAUUCAGUAGGCAAAAAGUGGUAUUUCUUUUUGUCCUUUACGGUGUUCUUUUUGGUGAGAAAUGUGGUUUCUCCCAAAGCCCAUGAGAGCGUCACUAUCUAUCCUCAUGGGUUUUGGACACUAUUCUACAGCCAUCGAUGUCUAUUUAAUAAGGUUAUUAGGACAAAUUCUAAAUCAGUGGAAUAAUACCUGUGUUGACUGCAAGGAAAUUUAUUAAGAAAAUAUCAUCGUUUCAACUUUCAGGACUUUUUGAAGAAUCAGAGUCAUUUGAAGCCUCAUGGAAGAUUUUGUCAAAUUCUAAGAAAGUAAAAUAGUUCUUAAUGAAAUGAUGAAAGGAUGAAGGUCAAAAUAA